RNAcentral lists this transfer RNA (75 nucleotides) under Marmota monax (woodchuck). RNAcentral's name for it is "tRNA.Ala". Lineage: Eukaryota; Metazoa; Chordata; Mammalia; Rodentia; Sciuridae. The record is from RNAcentral.
UGGAUGUGGCUCAGUGGUAGAGUGCUGGCCUGGCAUGCAUGAGGCCCUGGCUGGGUCCAAUUCCCAUCACUCCAA